RNAcentral lists this ribosomal RNA (274 nucleotides) under uncultured bacterium. Its description in RNAcentral is "partial 16S ribosomal RNA". It matches the Rfam family "Bacterial small subunit ribosomal RNA", at positions 523 to 796 of the family's 1533-position model. The record is from RNAcentral.
AUACGGAGGGGGCUAGCGUUGUUCGGAUUUACUGGGCGUAAAGCGCGCGUAGGCGGUUUAACAAGUUGGGCGUGAAAGCCCGGGGCUCAACCCCGGAUGUGCGUCCAAAACUGUUAAGCUAGAGUCCGGUAGAGGGUGGUGGAAUUCCCAGUGUAGAGGUGAAAUUCGUAGAUAUUGGGAAGAACACCAGUGGCGAAGGCGACCACCUGGUCCGGUACUGACGCUGAGGUGCGAAAGCGUGGGGAGCAAACAGGAUUAGAAACCCCAGUAGUCC